GGGGGACUUCGUCCAGCUUUUAGACAUGCAAGACUAAAUGUGAAUACCAUCUAUACAAUGGAGAACUGGCCCCUGGCAAGCUCGCCCCAUGGCUGCACCUUUAAAGUUGUCUUCUCCAAGCGUGUGCUGGGCUGUCAGCAGCGUCACCCAGGAGCUGGAAGUGCAAAUGCUCAGGUCCUUCCCCAGACCUGCUAAAUCAGAGACUCAGAGGGUGGGCUCCACCCUUGUGUGCCCACAGCCCUCCAGGGGACUCCAGGGCUUGCUGCAGCCCUAGAAGCACUGCUCUAAAGCCAUACUAAUUAGCAUUAGAUGUAUAGUUCACAACAGCUUGUUCUGCUUCUAACCACUGGUCGGAGGGGUUGGGGCCUGAUUAUGUAACAGCAUAUGAUGACUCAUUAAUGAUGAGAGAUGUUCUCGUGUUUACCAAUAUCUUCAUAUCAGUUUGCCAAAGUAAUUCUUGAUACCACACCCAGAUGCUGGGAAGAACAGGGGCUUUGGGAACUGAAGCCCUCACAUUGACCUCCAGCCCUGUCAGUGCCCCAUGCAUCCCUGGGGUACCUUUCCCCAUCUGUGCAUGCUGUUCCUGGGUGCCGCUAUGACCCCCACAGCCAGUGCCAGCUUCUCUCUGUGAGCAGCUGUCCCAAGGCUGCUGGAGCCCUUGUGCUCACCCUGCUUGCAUGGGGGCCUGAGACAGUCCUUACCCAGUGAUGGGUGGAUGCAAGGGACGCAAGACAUCCCUCAGGUUCAAUGAUUCAAGAGAACUCAUAGGAACCAGAAAGGUCACCAGAUUCACGAUUACCUCUUACUACACAUGGUUCCAACACUACACAGCAAGUCGAAGUCAGCAGUGGGAAGAUGCACCUAGGGUGGGUCCCAGGAGAGCUCUAGCUGUGGUGCUCCAGUGUCCUCUCCUAGUGGGGCUCUGCAGCAGUGCUUAGUUCUCCCAGUAAUGACAUGGGGCAGCAUGCAUGGAAUAUUGCUGACCAGGGACACUGACCUGAGCCUUGGCGUCCAGGGUUUUUAUUGAAGGCUUGGUCACGUAAACAUGAUGGACAAUCUACAUGGCUGACCUGGUCUCCAGCCCCUUGACAGAUCAAGCUGAUACAAGACCUCCACUGUGAAUCCUAUCCUUAGCAUCAACUACCUGGUGUGGCCUAAGGCCUCGGUAAACAGACACUUAUCAGACAGGACAUUAGAGAUUAAAGGACUUAGAGGCUGCCUUCCAGGAGCUGUGCCAGGGCCACACCUUUCUUUGGGCAAGGUUAACCCUUUACUACUUGCAGAAUAUGAAUAUUCCAGCUCCUUCAUCGCCAGUGCGGCCUCUCUGGGGUGUGACCAGCCCUGACUCUGUCUCAGAACUCCCUAGCAGGAGGAAGCCAGAAGCACCCACGUGGUUCCUGGCUCACUUUUUUCACUCCCCAGUCCCACCUUUCCACUGUCUUGCCUCUUUUUGUUGUUGUUGUUCUGGGAACACUUUCUAAUAAAUCUUCACACAAAGACUUGUUUCAGAUUCUGCUUCCAGGGAUCCUAAAAUAGGACACUGUAAGAAUUUACAAAGUGAUACAUUUCCUGUAUUUCAUUAACCUGCUUAUGUGAAUUACUGUUAUUUUCAAACCUCAGAAAUUAGCUGCAGCUGCUCUUAAGAUUAAAUCUGGAGAAGCCAAGAUAGAACUUGGAGUUGAGUCUCGCAGUGGCAACCGGGUCUAAGGAAGGGUCACCUGGCUAGAGCUGGAGUUGACACCCAGCCGGUCCAGGAGGGGCCGCUCCCACCAGGGACUCCAAUCAGAGGUGAAGGGUCAGGGUGAGGAGAGAAAUGCUCUCACUUCCCUCUUCCUCUCACCUCCAUCUCUUGACAUCACUUCCCGUUGGAUGAACCUAAAUGGAAGCCAGUAGGCAAGAGAGCCUGGAAAACAGCGUUUGCAGGGGGCGGUUGUGAAAUGGAUCUAAAGGCAAACAACACGUGAUGGACA
Molecule: long non-coding RNA, 1970 nt
Filed under: Homo sapiens (human)
Lineage: Eukaryota; Metazoa; Chordata; Mammalia; Primates; Hominidae
Description: HSALNT0400079
Source: RNAcentral